GAUGAACGCUGGCGGCGUGCCUAAUACAUGCCAGUAGAACGCUGAAGGAGGAGCUUGCUCUUCUGGAUGAGUUGCGAACGGGUGAGUAACGCGUAGGUAACCUGCCUGGUAGCGGGGGAUAACUAUUGGAAACGAUAGCUAAUACCGCAUGACAACAGUUAUUGCAUGAUAACUGUUUAAAAGGUGCAACUGCUCCACUACCAGAUGGACCUGCGUUGUAUUAGCUAGUUGGUGAGGUAACGGCUCACCAAGGCGACGAUACAUAGCCGACCUGAGAGGGUGAUCGGCCAAAAUGGGAAUGAGACACGGCCCAGACUCCUACGGGAGGCAGCAGUAGGGAAUCUGCGGCAAUGGACGGAAGUCUGACCGAGCAACGCCGCGUGAGUGAAGAAGGUUUUCGGAUCGUAAAGCUCUGUUGUAAGAGAAGAACGAGUGUGAGAGUGGAAAGUUCACACUGUGACGGUAUCUUACCAGAAAGGGACGGCUAACUACGUG
Molecule: ribosomal RNA, 495 nt
Filed under: uncultured bacterium
Lineage: Bacteria
Description: partial 16S ribosomal RNA
Rfam family: Bacterial small subunit ribosomal RNA
Source: RNAcentral